CUACAGGGGUAUCUAAUCCUGUUUGCUCCCCACGCUUUCAUUGUUCAUGAGGCGUUAGUGUUAUCCCAGGAGGCUGCCUUCGCCAUCGGUGUUCCUCCGCAUAUCUACGCAUUUCACUGCUACACGCGGAAUUCCACCUCCUCUGACACUCUAGCUCGGUGAGCAAAAAUGGUUCAAAAUUAAGCUCUGGAUUUCACAUCUUUCUUUCCGAACCGCCUGCGCGCUGCGCCGUAUAUUCCGUUAACAACUUUGUACCACCAUAAUGUCCUGCAGCUGCUAUGGCGUAGUUAGCCGGUGCUUGUUGCCAGGUACCGUCAGUUGCGAGGUCUUAUCCAUGCGGCGUUUCUUUCUCUUAAGUGCACCACAACCCGAAGGCCUUCAUCGCACACGGAUAUUGGAUCGAGUUCCCCCCAUUAAUCCAAAAUUCCCCACUGCUGCCUCCCAUGUA
Molecule: unclassified non-coding RNA, 448 nt
Filed under: uncultured Bordetella sp.
Lineage: Bacteria; Pseudomonadati; Pseudomonadota; Betaproteobacteria; Burkholderiales; Alcaligenaceae
Description: partial 16S-23S ribosomal RNA intergenic spacer
Source: RNAcentral